GGAUGUAAGCAAGAAUAUCAGACUGAGACAGCCAAGGUCUGCUGCGCCAGGAGCAGUGCCCACAGAAAUCCAGGGAGAGAGAGGGCAGUGCACCAGGCAUGGGUGUCUCUCAUGAGCCACAGAUCACAGCCAGUGCCAGGCUGGAGUGAGUGCCACCAGCAGAGAAACUGGGCAUUCUCCUGGCCCCUCCAGCUGUGAAGGGAAGGAGCACACGAGAGCUGCUGGGCAGAGACUAUAUUUACAGCUCCAAAGGCAGCCCAAGAAAGGAGGCAAGCAAGGGAGAUAGCCCUCUGACUGCUGGACUCAGCCCCAGCUGGUGGCUUUUUAAGCCCACGUCCAGACUCUUGGUCCAAGCUCUCAUGAGCAGAUUGGAGCAGGGAGUACUUUGAAGUACAGGGACAUUUCUCUAAGGGAUCCUUGAGCCUACACAAUGUGUUUUCCCCUCACAAAGUAGGACGCAUUGCCCUCUUCUGGGGCUAGGUGGCUCAGCUGUCGAGUACCAGCUGUUCUGCAAGGGCAACCCAUCUCCUGAGCUGGAGCUGAUGGGAGGACAGGCCUGACAUUGGUGGAAUAUCAUCUCUUCUCCCAAACACGCCAUUCCUGACGGGACGCAGUCUGAUUUCUUCUUGCUCUUACGGGCAAUGCCUGGCUCUGGGUGGCCAUAGAAACUCUGGCUCCCUGAAAGAAAGGACCACCUCUUUGGUGCCCUGUGUUGAAGAAUGGCUGGAUACGUUCCUGCCAGCCGCUGGCUCCUAUUACUGUGUGUGGGAUUCCUGGCAGUGGCCUCGUGCGUUGGCUCAGUGGGGUCGAAGAAACUUGGAAGCAGAAGAAGCCGGGAGAAGAAAUCCCAGUGGAAUGAGUACCCCACAAGCCAGGGAAAAAGCAACAUGCCUCUGCCAGCCUCUAACGACCCGGAACCCCUUCCUGAGCGGUCUCGCAGCAUUGACCCCCGGGAUGCCUGGAUGCUCUUUAUGAAACAAUCAAACAAAGGGGUGAACAGCAAGAAACAGGGCAAAGGCAAAUCAAAAAAAUUCAAGUUUGGCAUGCCAGGCCCACCAGGUCCCCCAGGCCCUCAGGGGCCUCCCGGAUCCCUGGUGACACCAGAAGAAUUGCUGAAGGACUUCCGGCUGCUGUUGAAAGAGGUGGUAAAGGAGCAGGAGAGGAUGAGCCUGAAGGCCUGUGAAGGUUGCCAAGAAGGUGAGGAAGAGGAGGAGAGAGGAGAAGAUGACAUGUUGGCACUGGUUGCUGGUCCGUUGGCAAAGAGUAAGCCACAGCAUCGAGUGGAGGCAGCCUUUCACUGCAGGAUACAGAGAAACAUUUCCAUUGAACGGAGAUCCCUGCAAGAGCUUCGGAUCUAUUACAUACCUCAGAAAGAGGGGGUGUUCCAUCGAGGCCUGGGGCUGAACCUGACCAGCGGCCAAUACACAGCACCUGUUGCGGGGUACUACACCUUCACUGCCACCUUGCACAUUGUUCAUGGAGAACAACAGAAGAAAGGGCAACAGCGUGUGAGAGAUCGCCUGCGGGUACUGAUCUGCGUCCAGUCUCUGUGUCAACACAACAUUUCUCUGGAGUCAGCAGCUGGUUUGGACAGCAGUAAACUUUUCACCAUCUCAGUCAGUGGAGUCCUCUAUUUACAGAAAGCGCCCUGUGUUGUGGGUACUACUGGAACCAACCUGUGAAGAUGACAGUCACGUGCUUCUGCCAGCUGUGCUGGCUUUCCUCUGCGGCUGGGCAGGAAGCUCAUUCCUCAGUCUGACUCUGCAUCAUUUUUCAAAACCAGCCUCAAUAAUAGUGGCACGAUCAGCCUUCCAUCUCUCUGGGGGCUGAGACCCAGAACCUCAAAGGCUGGCCAGUAUGCCUCAGUUUUUGUAGACAAUGCCACUGGAUCAUCCCUCACUGUUCGAAGUGGCUCGGAUUUCAGCGCUGUUCUUUUAGGGGUGUGAAUGGUCUCAAACCACCUGCCCCUACAUGCUAUAAACUGAAUUGGUCUCUUCAGCAAGAACCACCUUAAUUUCCUCCAACCCAAGCAUAGGGAGCAAAGCAUAGUCAGGUCAGGAGCAGCAGUCUCUACAGAUUCUGCUUGUGCUACAAAACCCAGCCACCAGACACCAUACUUUGCACAAGAUCUCAAGCAUCCAAAGAUGAUGGAGAGCCGGGAAGAAAAUUGGAAGCAUGAAAAAGGGAGGACUCACUAAAUCCAUCCUCCUUUAAUUUAAUCUAUGGCCAGAUUUUGAAUCUUAUUUUACAUGGACAAAUUAUAACAUGGCUGACUUCUAAAGCCAGAUCAACUUUCAUAAAGGAACCCCUCCCCACCCAAUCAAACAUGAAUGCUUAGGGGAAGGUGAUUUGAAGAAGCCUUCACUCAUAGACUAGCCUUUUUGGCAGUUUUUUUCUGUUCAGUUUUUCAACAGGCCAAAGCCGGAUUAUGUAUAUAGCUCUAGCUUUCUUAUAGCUUAUCAGUUAAGGUUUGCUAUCAGCAGGCGCUGGUACUUGGAAGUUAAUUUUCAAUGCAGAGCAGUGUCCUGAUAAGGCAGCAGCCUAGUUAGAACGUGAAUUGCUGUCCAAUGAUUUUCCACUUCCUAAGAACAGUGUACUCACACCACCACCCCAUUCUCUGCCUAUGGCAGAGAGCCCAGUCAAUGGGUGGUGGAGAUAUGCAACGUUAUGCCUGGCUUUGGUCUCGAUAGGCAGUCUAACUCUCAUUAACCCAGUGGGACUACGUGCAUAAAUAAGGGCUGAAGGAAUGGGCCCUAAAUUAAUAACAAAGGCAGGGAAAGAAAAAGAUGCAGUCUCAUUUCUUAGUACCAUAUACUUAAUUCCUGAGCUCCUG
Molecule: RNA transcript, 2833 nt
Organism: Dermochelys coriacea (leatherback sea turtle)
Lineage: Eukaryota; Metazoa; Chordata; Testudines; Dermochelyidae
Gene: ERFE
Gene name: erythroferrone
Exons: 9
Source: RefSeq, a predicted model, not a curated record